GUAACUCCAAUUAGUAUGGAGUUGGAACAUCUGUUUACAUUUGUUGUUGCUAGGGGCGCUGUUCCAACUGCAUACAAAUUUGAGUUA
Bombyx mori (domestic silkworm) is the source of this 87-nucleotide non-coding RNA. Lineage: Eukaryota; Metazoa; Arthropoda; Insecta; Lepidoptera; Bombycidae. The record is from Rfam.